GCUGCUGCCUCCAUCAGCCAGAACUAAGGCAACUGGGUACGUGGCUCAGUAACCCUAGAGAUAAAUUCCCCUGAAUGAACCUCCAGCUAUAACAUUUGGACACUCAAAACCUACUGUAUUUUAAGAUUAAUUACUGUACUUUGAAGGAAAAGGCUGACAAUAGCUUUGUUACUGCACAGAAAGUUCCAAGCUUAAUGGGUCAUAGGAUAAUUAAUUAUCAUAAUGCUUGCCUUUGAAGUAGUUGGAAGAAAGGAAAAAUUACCCCAUUUGACUGAUAGAAAAACUGAGACAAGGGAAGCUAACUUGCUUGUGGUUACCCAGGGAAUAGUUGGCUGAGACUCCAGGAUUCCUGACUCCAAAUUCAUUGCUGUAACCACCAGACUGAAACCAGCCGCCAAAGGCUGUAAUUUGGUCUUGAGGCCGUGGCCAUGGUUUAGAACCACAAUAGUGAGGGAACCACUUUAAGGAGGACCUUGAAAAUCUUUCAAGGGAAUUAUGCCUCUUUAUCUAUGUUGAUUAUGUAAUGAUUGGAAUAAAUGAGGGUUUUGGCCCAACACAUUUGUGGUUUUGGGUUAGGCUGGGGUCCCUUUUAGGAAACUGGGAAUGUUUGCCUCAUCCUUGGGCCCCAAUUUUUAAACCAAUUGUGUUGAGUUUAUGAUACACAAAUCAAUGUGUUAACAUUAUGCUUUUUACUUGGCAGAAGUCAUAACUCGGGUUUCCAUGGAUAUAGCAAGAUGGGCCAGAGAGGAGAGGAUUGGAGACUUAGAAACCGAGGGAGUGUACUUCAUGGGACCACACGGUGAUCAGAAAUGGACCUGAGAUACCCCACCUAAUGCAGACACAGCAAUGCAAAGCAGGAUACACAAGCUCAGGAGCAUUGUGAAAAACUCUCCUAAGCUUAAGUCAUCAUACCAACUACACAGGAUAUGAAAGUGGGGAAGAAAAUGAAGGUAACUAAUCCUAUCACAUCAUGUAGUUUUCCUGAAGGUGUCACCAAUAUUAGAGGUAACAGUGUUGACUUUGUUGGAAUUUGCGAUGCCCGAUAAAUAGCAUUCCCUUUUCCCUCCUGAGUUCUGAGCCAAACAAAAAAUAAGAUAAAAGGGUAAGGUGGAUAAGAACUCAUGUUACCUUUAUUUUAAAUUGAUAGCGUUCAAUUCAGAUUUUACUACAUUGUCAAGGGAAAUUGUUUUAUUAUUUUUAAAAAUUAACAAAGUUUAAUUGUUUUAAACAUCAUAGUAGAGAAUGUGGUUGUUGUAGGAAUAUGGCUUCUAUCGCAGACAGGCAGGCUUCCUAAUAGGACUAAAUGCUGGCGUUAGAAAGACUUAACCCACCCAGUCUCUGGACCAUGUCACAUGGGAAAACUGCCCAUGAGAACCAAGGAGCUGAGCAGAAGAUGUGCUCCUGCUGAUGGCUACACCCUUUACUUGUCUAGUUUCUCUUUCUAAAUUUAGUAAUCAGAUGAAGUCACUGUUCCUCAAAGGAACAAGUGAUGAGGGGGCAAGAAUGCAGGUGUAUCUCCCAAAUAGAAUUCUCUCCCUUCGGGUAAAGAAGGACUCUUCUGGCCAACAGAUGAUGUAUAUGUAGGUUUUUAACAUGAUUACAUCUUGGUGAUUCAUUAAAAAAUUAAGAGUUCAGUAAAAUUGAAAUUAAACCUCAUAAAUUUAAAAAUGAAGGUGACUUACAACUUUAACACCAUUUGUAAACACGGAAUCUAUAAAGUAAGUUAACAGUGUCUGUAGAAUUUGUGAAGGACCAUUUUGAUUCCUUAAGAGAAUGUACUAAUUUGAAGUCAUUUCAGAGUACUCACCAAAAUUUCAAAAGGACCAUGCUAAUUGUAAAACGUUAUCUACCCAUGCAACUGAUAUAGGCAUACGUAUUUUGUUCUUAGCGGAACAGUCAAAAUGUUGAACAAAAGUAACUCAAUUGUUUUAUUUUACUUCUUAAUAUGCAUGUAUUCUACCAACAUGCUCUGCCUUCAGCUUACUGAUGAGCAAAGACUGAAAGGGAAAGGAACUCUGGGUUGCUCCAUCUUUCCCUUUCCUCCUAUGCCACCAUUUUCAACAUAAGUGAUUGACACAGGCAGGCAAGUAAGAGAAGAUAUGAUGGGGUUCUCGGGUUGUUUGGUUUCUUAGAAAACUACUGUCUUCCUCCUGAGUAUGAGACAAAUUCGCUUUUAAAUAGAAGGUGUGGUUUGGAGGUGGGGGUAAGCAAACAGCAUACCUACAACCUCUGCUACUCAUUCGAUGUAAUGGGCUUACCUUAUAUUUGCUUUGAGUUUCACUGAACUCCCCUGCAUCUGAGUGCACCAGAGUUCCAUGCCCAGGGGGCAUCAUGAAGGCUACCUGCAAACAGGACAGCUAGGAGGAGUAGGACUUACACUGCACAUUCCUACUCUGCUCAGGUGCAUUCUUUAUUGUCCCAUCAGACUUCAUGUGUGAAACACAUGUUCAAAUACAAAAUUAAGAACUUCAAUCCAGUCUCUUGGGACAGACCAUGACGGAAGAUACUAUAAGAAAGGGAAUUAAUGUAUGUAUGACUAGAUCAUUUUUCUGUACAGCUGAAAUUGGUGCAACAUUGUAAAUCAACUAUAGUAUUUUUUAAAAAGGGAAAAAAUUUAAGAUUUCAAAACAGAGACAGCAGAGAUAUAAAUCAAGUGUGGGUCAUUUGGGGGAAAAGAUCAUGAAGCCAGUCCUGGAGAAAGCGUUGAACCUAAGGGAGUUCAGGCCACAGAUCAGCAGCAAGGAAGGCUGACUUCUAGAAUAGUGAACUGAAAGGGAGGGACAGGUGGUGGAACAACCCUUUAUUCUUCUUUUAGGAACUUGUUCUCACUUUUGUCAGGAGUUUAGAGUAUCAACAACAAACAGGCCUUGUACCAACAGAACAUGAGGGUGCAGGCUGUUGCCAGCAAGAGUGCUAGGGGUGACUUUCCCCUUAAUAAAUACUUAGUAAUUCUUCUCAAGUUCUUAUUCAUAGUUUUAUGGACCCAAUUUAGUCUUUGUGCUAAAUGUUCCACUAUACACAAAUGGAUGUGAGUUUUUGCUGCAUUUUUGUGAGCAUCUGGCAAUAACCAGUCUGGUUAAAUAAAAGUUUAUUAUAAUUUUUCAACUGAUUUAGUAAAAUUGGUAUAAAUGUGUAGCUUUGGUAAAUUAAACAGCUUUCGAAGUUCUUUACACUCAUUACAUUUGUAGCCACUUUAGAGUUUACAAAGUGCUUUUACCUACCAAGUGCCCUAUUUAACCCCCAUAAUAACCCUGUGGGGUAGGAUAGGCAGACAUUAUUAUCACUGUGUAUGGGAGUGUUUACCAGACCUGCGAAUCAGAUUACAUGAACCUACAUCCCUCCAUGGCCUCAGCUGAUUGGAAAGGUGGAAGCACUUAAAGCAAGGAAAUCAGACCAUAAGCUAGACAAUGAAUGACCUAGUGUGACCAGACUCUGAAAGAUGAACUGGGCCAUUGGAUGUAUCUCUCAGCAGAGGUAAGGUAAUGUGUCCAGUACAGACCUCUUUAUACAGCUCAUACAGAGUCUCAACAUUUCUAAAAUAGAUCUAUUGAGACAUUUUCUCAAAUUGCCCCUUUCUUGGUCUUCUCCAUCUUAGUAAAAGGCACUUCCAUCCACUUAUUUUUUCAGCCAAAACCCUAGGAGUCAUCCUCAAGUCCUCCUUUUCCCUCCAUUCAGUCUCUCAGCAAGCUCUGCCAGUUCUAUUGAUAGCUUUAGUCUAUCUGCUUCUUUUCAGUGCUGCUGACCACUCUCUGGCUCUUGCCUAACUUUGGAGUAGACUCAGAGUUGGUCUCCCUGCUUCCAUUCUUGCCCCAUUGUAAUCCAGUCUCCACACAAUUGCCAUAGUGAGCUUUAUAAAAUGUAAAUCAAACCAUGUUAUUUAUACACUUAAAUUUUUUUCAAAGGUUUGUCAUAGCUCAAGAGCUCAUUGCCCUGAUUUCCAAGGUUUUGCAUGAUGUGGACUCCCUCCUGACUUUUACCAAGCCCUUUAGCCAUAUUGAAUUUCUCUUAGUACUUAGAGCCUAUCAAGCUCUCUCUACCUCAAGGACUUUGCACUUGCUAGUACUUCUGCCUGAAAACUUCUGCCUUCAACUCUUUGCGAUGCUUAUUUAAAAUCAUUUUUUUUAAAUUAUUUUCCCACUGUACAGCAAGGGGGUCAGGUCAUCCUUAGAUGUAUACA
Non-coding RNA from Sus scrofa (pig), 4177 nucleotides. The record is from RefSeq and is a predicted model, not a curated record. NCBI's taxonomy places the organism in Eukaryota, Metazoa, Chordata, Mammalia, Artiodactyla, Suidae.